Molecule: ribosomal RNA, 400 nt
Filed under: uncultured bacterium
Lineage: Bacteria
Description: bacterial SSU rRNA
Rfam family: Bacterial small subunit ribosomal RNA
Source: RNAcentral
UGAGGAAUAUUGGACAAUGGACGCAAGUCUGAUCCAGCCAUGCCGCGUGCAGGAUGACGGUCUUAUGGAUUGUAAACUGCUUUUAUACGGGAAGAAAAGAUGUUACGAGUAACAUAAUUGCCGGUACCGUAAGAAUAAGGAUCGGCUAACUCCGUGCCAGCAGCCGCGGUAAUACGGAGGAUCCGAGCGUUAUCCGGAAUCAUUGGGUUUAAAGGGUCCGUAGGCGGUUAGGUAAGUCAGCGGUGAAAUCUCAUAGCUUAACUAUGAAAUUGCCGUUGAUACUGUUUGACUUGAAUAAUUAGGAAGUAAUUAGAAUAUGUAGUGUAGCGGUGAAAUGCAUAGAUAUUACAUGGAAUACCGAUUGCGAAAGCAGGUUACUACUAAUUUAUUGACGCUGAUG